AACGCACCUUGCACCUUCUGGUAUUCCGGAAGGUACACCUGUUUGAGUGUCAUUAAAUUCUCAACCAGUUGACUUUUGUUGAUUGGCUUGGAUGUGAGGGUUGCGGGCUGCCUGCAAAGGCUGGUCGGCUCCCUUUAAAUGCAUUAGCUGGAGCGAAGUACAAGUGUUUCAACUCUUUGAUGCUUGAAAGCCUCCUGGUGUUGGUAAUUAUCUACGCCGUUGGUUUAGUCAUUGAGCUUGUUCGUUUGGAAGAGUCUCUGCUUCUAACUGUCUCGCAAGGGACUAGUCCACUCAUGGGCUACUUUAAUGACUAUUGUGACCUCAAAUCAGGUGGGACUACCCGCUGAACUUAA
This 353-nucleotide ribosomal RNA is filed under the name uncultured fungus. RNAcentral's name for it is "eukaryotic LSU rRNA". Lineage: Eukaryota; Fungi. The record is from RNAcentral.